AAUGAAGUGCCUGAGCUAAAAGGAUUAUUUUGAUAGAAUAAAUUAUGUAAAUUAUUUACCUUCAUUA
RNAcentral lists this transfer RNA (67 nucleotides) under Pterostichus melanarius. Its description in RNAcentral is "tRNA-Ile". The record is from RNAcentral. RNAcentral also lists the same sequence under 1 other name. Lineage: Eukaryota; Metazoa; Arthropoda; Insecta; Coleoptera; Carabidae.